GGGCGAUGGAACACUCAUGGUAGACUCCC
RNAcentral lists this unclassified non-coding RNA (29 nucleotides) under Saccharolobus solfataricus. RNAcentral's name for it is "BMG3 RNA strand B from Saccharolobus solfataricus (PDB 7XPL, chain H)". Lineage: Archaea; Thermoproteati; Thermoproteota; Thermoprotei; Sulfolobales; Sulfolobaceae. The record is from RNAcentral.